AUCCAAGAAAUUGAGAGGCCAAAUCAGUCCCAAAUCGAAAUCCAAGCAUGGAUUAGUGAUCACCUCAGUGAAAUGAUCAUAAGUUUGACGCCUAACGAGCUAGGUGGAGGCUUGGGAAAGGAAGCGGGUCAAACAAAUCAAGAAAGGAGGAAAAGCACAAUUCGGAUGCAAGAAAUAAAUAUCGGAUGGAUAUGUACAUCGCUAUCGCUUAGCGGCUACUAAGGCAAGGUAUCGAAACGAAUCAAUAUAUUGAUUCGAGCCAGGUAUGUAUAUUUGGUCAAAUCAUCAUUAGAACUUGAAGCUCAAUGAGGGCUAAACAAGUUAAAAUGGACAUUGGGUUAUCUUUUAAGUAAACCGAAUGAUUUAGGUUAUUGUCAUUAUGUUUUAAGAACAUGAUGUCUAUUUAAACAAGAUUCCUAGUUCAACCAGUGGAAUUUUGGUCAAUUACAACAUGAAAAGUCCUUUGUUGUUAAGAAAGGGUUUAAGAUGACUAAAACGCCCUCGUAAGCAAAAUCGAGUAAAUGAACCUUAAGA
Molecule: long non-coding RNA, 534 nt
Filed under: Helianthus annuus (common sunflower)
Lineage: Eukaryota; Viridiplantae; Streptophyta; Magnoliopsida; Asterales; Asteraceae
Source: RNAcentral